GCUCCCAUAGUUCAGUGGAUAGAAUUUUUCCUUGCGGAGGAAAAGACCGGAGUUCGAAUCUUCGUGGGGGCA
This 72-nucleotide transfer RNA is filed under the name Candidatus Pacearchaeota archaeon. Its description in RNAcentral is "tRNA-Arg". It matches the Rfam family "tRNA". From Rfam's summary of the family: Transfer RNA (tRNA) molecules are approximately 80 nucleotides in length. Their secondary structure includes four short double-helical elements and three loops (D, anti-codon, and T loops). The record is from RNAcentral. Lineage: Archaea; Nanobdellati.